Molecule: long non-coding RNA, 5390 nt
Filed under: Triticum aestivum (bread wheat)
Lineage: Eukaryota; Viridiplantae; Streptophyta; Magnoliopsida; Poales; Poaceae
Description: long non-coding RNA (TAES_LNC023887)
Source: RNAcentral
GUCGGGCGCGCUUUGGCUCUUGUCUCUUGAUAAGUAAUUGUAGUAUCUGCCCUCUUCUAAAUUCUAAUUGAAUGGUCCAAGCCAACAAACCUGGAUCUUGCAAAUCUUUCAAGGCCAUAAUGUGCCUGUGGGUUGUGGCUAAAUUACAUUCUCCCUCCGUUCACAAAUAUAAGGUGUUUUGGAUAUUUCUGUUAGACUUAUAAUAUAAGUCAUGUAAACCCCUUUGUAUUUAUCCCGUUGUAUAAGGGGUUUCCUGCAUAUGUACCACACCUGUACAUGUAUAUAUAUCGGCCUAUGGCCUCAUGGGAAUACAAGUUGCUUAUUCUUAACAUGGUAUUAGAGCUAGGUCAAUUUUUUGCACGCUGCAACUCGUGCUAUUGAUCCGUCCCGAUCGCGUCCGGCUCGUCUUCCUCCCGCUCGAAGCCGCCGUCGCCGUGGCUGCUCCCGUUCGAAGUCAGCCGCCGCCCUCCCGUUCCCGCAGCUGCUGACGCCGCCGAAGCUCCCUCCCGCCGAAGCUCCCUCCCGCUCUCCCGCCGAAGCUCCCUCCCGCCGACGCUCCCUCCCGCUCGCAGUCGGCCGUCGCCCUCCCCGUGCUCGGCCACCGCGGGACUUCGUGCUCUCCCUCGCGCGCCCCCGCACCGUGCUCUCUCUGCCCAGAUCUGCCAGGAGCCUCUCACGCCAGGCGCCGUCGUUCGCCCCUCCCGCCCGGACUCGUGGUCACGCAUCCACUUCCGGCGGCCGCCGUUCGCGGUGGUCUCCCGUGGUCUUCCGCCUGCCGUCUGAUUACGGGUCUCUCCUAAAAAAAAUUGUCUGCUGCAUCGGGUUAUGUCUCUGUCCCUCGCUGUCCGGUGAUCUUCGAUGGUACUAACUACACCGAGUUCGCUGGCUUCAUGCGCAUUCACAUGCGUGGCAUCCGUCUCUGGGGUGUUCUUUCUGGCGAGGUCUGCUGUCCGCCACGUACGGUUCCUCCGGUGGCCCCUACUCCGCCGACUCCACUGGUUCUUCCUACGGAUGCUAAUCAGGCCGCCAAGGAUGCGGCUAAGCUUGCUGAUGAGGCUGCUGAUCGUGCCUAUGAUGAGAGGGCUUUGGCUUAUGAGGAGGCUCUUCAGACGUAUCAUGGUGCUUUGUCUGUUUACACUCAGUGGCUUGAUGAUGAUGCUCGUGCUGCAGCUGUUCUCACUGCUAGUGUUCUGCCUCAGUUUGCUUCUGAGUUUCUGGGUCUUCCUACUGUCUUCCAGAUGUGGACCUGCCUUCGUCAGCGCUAUGAGCCCUCUGGUGAUGCCUUAUAUCUUUCUGUGGUUCGUCAGGAGCAUGCUCUUCAGCAGGGUGACUCUACUGUUGAUGACUUUUAUGCCCAGAGUUCUGCUAUCUGGCGCCAGCUUGAUUCUCUCCGCAGUGCUGGUUGUCGUACUUGCCCCUGCUGCCAGGCUGUCCAAGCCGAUUUGGAGUUUCAUCGCGUCUACGAGUUCCUGUCUCGGCUCCGUAAGGAGUUUGAGCCCCGGCGUGCUCAGUUGUUUGCUCGUGGCCGUAUUUCUCUCAUGGAGGCGCUUUCAGAGAUUCGUGCUGAGGAGACUCGCCUACGUGGUGCUGGUUUGCUGGAGGUUCCCUCUGUGCUCGCUACUCGGGUUUCUUCCACUCCACCUGCUGCACAGCCCCAUUCUCGCUCGAGUGCUCCGCCGCUCUUGCCCACUCCUUCUGGAGGCUCAGGUCGGCCCCGUUCACAUUGUGACUACUGCAACAAUGAUGGUCAUAUUGAGUCCCAGUGCUACACAAAGCGGAAACACCUGCGCAAGGCGCGAUCAUCCUCCUCCGGGACUUCGUCAUCUCCCUCGCCAGCUUCAGCCAUUGCUUUGACUGAGCAGGAUAUUCUGAGACUUAAGCGUCUGCUCGCGGCUUCAGGUUCUUCCUCGACGGGUACUGCUGGUUCUGUGACUGAUGCUUCCCGCACUGAGCACCCGCCCUCUACACAGUCAGGUACAUCCCCAUGGGUUCUGGAUUCUGGAGCUUCUUUUCAUAUGUCUUCUCAUUCUUCCGCUUUGUCUUCUCUUCGCUCGCUGGAUUCUCCUGUUCAUGUCUUCACUGCUGAUGGUACUCCACUUUCUGUUGCUAGUAGAGGCCAUCUUUCCACUCCUUAUUCUGUUCCUGAUGUUGCUCAUGUUCCUCGACUUACCAUGAAUCUGUUUUCUGCCGGUCAACUUACUGAUUCUGGUUGUCGUGUCAUCCUUGAUGUUGACUCUUGUUCUGUCCAAGAUCGUCGCACGCACACUCUGGUUGGGGCUGGCCCUCGCCGCCGUGAUUCUCAGGGUCUUUGGGAGUUGGACUGGCUUCAUGUUCCUUCCGCUGCCACCACCAUCGCCAGUCCCUCCGCUGUUGUCGCCUCUGUUACUGGUUCCUUCAAGCAGUGGCAUCAUCGACUUGGUCAUCUGUGUGGUUCUCGGUUAUCGUCUUUAGUUCGUCGAGGUCUUCUGGGGUCUGUCUCAGGAGAUGUCUCUUUAGAGUGUCAGGGUUGUCGUCUUGGCAAGCAGAUUCAGUUACCAUAUUCCCAUAGUGAGUCAGUGUCUAAGCGUCCUUUCGAUUUAGUCCAUUCUGAUGUAUGGGGUCCGGCUCCUUUCGCUUCGAAAGGUGGUCAUAAAUACUAUAUUAUUUUCAUCGAUGAUUUUUCUCGUUACACAUGGCUUUAUUUCAUGACUUCACGUAGUGAGGUGUUGUCUAUUUACAAGCGUUUUGCUGCCAUGGUUCAUACUCAGUUCUCUUCACCCAUUCGUGUUUUUCGUGCUGACUCCGCUGGUGAGUAUAUCUCUAAGAUGUUGCGUGGUGUCCUUGCUGAGCAGGGUACUCUUGCCCAGUUCUCUUGUCCUGGUGCUCAUGCUCAGAAUGGCGUGUCUGAGCGCAAGCAUCGUCACCUUCUUGAGACGGCUCGUGCCAUGAUGAUCGCCGCCUCUCUUCCGCCUCAUUUUUGGGCCGAGGCUAUCUCCACUUCCGUCUAUCUCAUCAACCUUCAGCCAUCUGCUGCUUUGCAGGGUGGUGUUCCUUUUGAGCGUCUGUUUGAUCGUCCUCCCGAUUAUUCGAUGCUUCGCUUGUUUGGUUGUGUUUGCUAUGUUCUUCUUGCCCCUCGCGAACGCACCAAACUGACCGCUCAGUCUGUUGAGUGUGUCUUCUUAGGCUACAGUGAUGAGCAUAAGGGCUAUCGUUGUUGGGAUCCUGUCGGUCGUCGGAUGCGUAUCUCUCGAGACGUGACUUUUGAUGAGUCUCGUCCUUUUUACCCACGCUCAUCUUCCUCGUUUUUUUCAGUGGAGGAUAUCUCUUUCCUCACUUUUCCUGACUCCCCUAUCACUCCCGUCGCGCCUGUGCCUAUUCGUUCCACUCCCUCUGCUUCUCCACCCCUUGUUGAUUCGCCGCCACCAUCUUCCCCGGUCUCCUCACCUCGCAUGUCACUGGAUUCUACACCUUCAUCUCCGGUGGCUUCUUCGUCGCCACCCCCUGAUUCUACCUUGGUGAUUCCUCCUUCUUUUGUUCCAUCUCUUCCUCAGCAUUACACUCGUCGUUCACGACCUGUGGAUGCUUCCUUGGAUGAGUCGUCCUCUUCCUCUCAGCCUACUUAUGGCUUGCGUUCUCGUCCUCGUCCGCCUAUUGAUCGCUUUGGAUUUCCCACCGCUGGUGCUGCUGUUCUUGAGCCGACUUCUUACCGUCAGGCUGUUGUUCAUCCUGAAUGGCAGUUUGCGAUGGCAGAGGAGAUUGCUGCUCUUGAACGCACUGGUACCUGGGAUCUUGUUUCUCUUCCUCCCGGAGUCCGUCCCAUCACUUGUAAGUGGGUCUACAAGGUUAAGACUCGCUCUGAUGGUUCUCUUGAGCGUCACAAAGCUCGUCUCGUGGCUCGUGGUUUUCAGCAGGAGCAUGGUCGUGAUUAUGACGAGACUUUUGCUCCUGUGGCCCAUAUGACCACUAUUCGUACACUUCUUGCCGUUGCCUCUGCACGCAACUGGUCUAUAUCUCAGCUUGAUGUUAAGAAUGCCUUUCUUAAUGGUGAGCUGCGUGAGGAGGUGUACAUGCAGCCACCACCUGGGUAUUCUGUUCCUGAUGGCAUGGUGUGUCGUCUUCGUCGCUCUCUCUAUGGCCUUAAGCAAGCCCCUCGCGCCUGGUUUGAGCGUUUUGCUUCUGUGGUCACUACUGCUGGUUUUUCAGCAAGUGCUCAUGAUCCCGCAUUGUUUAUUCACCUUUCUCCUCGUGGCCGGACUCUUCUUCUUCUCUAUGUUGAUGAUAUGGUCAUCACUGGGGAUGACCCCGAGUAUAUUGCCUUUGUAAAGGCUCGUCUUAGUGAGCAGUUUCUUAUGUCUGAUCUUGGACCUCUUCGCUACUUUCUUGGGAUUGAAGUCUCUUCUACCUCUGAUGGCUUUUUUAUAUCUCAGGAAAAGUAUAUCCAGGAUCUUCUUGCUCGUGCUGCUCUUUCCGACGAGCGCACUGUUGCGACUCCUAUGGAGCUCAAUGUUCACCUCCGUGCUACUGAUGGUGAUCCUCUCCCUGACCCGACGCGUUAUCGUCAUCUCGUUGGCAGUCUAGUCUAUCUAGCUGUCACUCGUUCGGACAUCUCUUAUCCGGUUCAUAUUCUGAGUCAGUUUGUCUCUGCUCCCACAUCGGUUCAUUAUAGUCAUCUCCUUCGUGUUCUCCGAUAUAUUCGGGGCACGAUCUCUCACCGUCUCUUCUUUCCUAGCUCCAGUUCUUUACAGCUUCAGGCCUAUGCGGAUGCUACGUGGGCUAGUGAUCCUUCUGAUCGCCGUUCGCUUUCUGCUUACUGUGUUUUUCUUGGCGGUUCUCUCAUUGCCUGGAAGACGAAGAAACAGAUUGCAGUUUCCCGUUCGAGUGCUGAGGCUGAGUUGCGAGCUAUGGCUCUUUUGACGGCAGAGGUGACUUGGUUACGGUGGUUACUUCAGGAUUUUGGUGUUUCUGUCACUACCCCGACUAUGCUCUUAUCUGACAGUACAGGUGCUAUUAGCAUUGCGCGCGAUCCUGUGAAGCAUGAGCUCACCAAGCAUAUUGGUGUUGAUGCUUUCUAUGUGCGCGCUGCUGUGCAGGAUCAGGUCGUUGCUCUUCAGUAUGUGCCUUCCGAGUUACAGUUGGCGGAUUUCCUGACGAAGGCCCAGACUAGAGCGCAACAUGGCUUUUAUCUCUCCAAACUCAGUGUUGUUCCUCCACCAUGAUUUUGAGGGGGGUGUUAGAGUUAUAAUAUAAGUCAUGUAAACCCCUUUGUAUUUAUCCCGUUGUAUAAGGGGUUUCCUGCAUAUGUACCACACCUGUACAUGUAUAUAUAUCGGCCUAUGGCCUCAUGGGAAUACAAGUUGCUUAUUCCUAACAAUUUCAAUAUACAGAUUGAAAUGAGUGAACAAACAAAAAAA